ACGGGUGAGUAACACGUGGGAACGUACCUUUUGGUUCGGAAUAACGCAGGGAAACUUGUGCUAAUACCGAAUGUGCCCUUCGGGGGAAAGAUUUAUCGCCAUUAGAGCGGCCCGCGUUAGAUUAGCUAGUUGGUGAGGUAAAGGCUCACCAAGGCUACGAUCUAUAGCUGGUCUGAGAGGAUGAUCAGCCACACUGGGACUGAGACACGGCCCAGACUCCUACGGGAGGCAGCAGUGGGGAAUCUUGCGCAAUGGGCGAAGGCCUGACGCAGCCAUGCCGCGUGAAUGAUGAAGGUCUUAGGAUUGUAAAAUUCUUUCAGUAGGGACGAUAAUGACGGUACCUACAGAAGAAGCCCCGGCUAACUUCGUGCCAGCAGCCGCGGUAAUACGAAGGGGGCUAGCGUUGCUUGGAAUUACUGGGCGUAAAGGGAGCGUAGGCGGGUUAUCAAGUUGGGGGUGAAAGCCCGGGGCUCAACCUCGGAAUUGCCUUCAAAACUGGUAGCCUAGAGUAUGAUAGAGGUAUGUGGAACUCCGAGUGUAGAGGUGAAAUUCGUAGA
RNAcentral lists this ribosomal RNA (557 nucleotides) under uncultured Asticcacaulis sp. Its description in RNAcentral is "bacterial SSU rRNA". It matches the Rfam family "Bacterial small subunit ribosomal RNA", at positions 102 to 694 of the family's 1533-position model. The record is from RNAcentral. Lineage: Bacteria; Pseudomonadati; Pseudomonadota; Alphaproteobacteria; Caulobacterales; Caulobacteraceae.